Nomascus leucogenys (northern white-cheeked gibbon) is the source of this 4584-nucleotide RNA transcript. It is a transcript of the gene named APAF1 interacting protein, with no coding region annotated. The transcript has 8 exons. The record is from RefSeq and is a predicted model, not a curated record. Lineage: Eukaryota; Metazoa; Chordata; Mammalia; Primates; Hylobatidae.
AUGCCACCAGCACUACAAAGGCAUUGAUGUAGUUUGGCUUUCUUUCUAUGCAGCCAAAAUCCAUAAUUAAAUCAAGCAACUGGCUGUAUUGCUUGAUUUAUAAAGAACAUGCAUGACUGGACUGCAAACUUUUCUUUGUGCAAAAGCAGGAAAUAAAUAAAUACCAAUUUGUAUGUUUUGUGUUGCCAGCGAUGAAAUCUACAUUGCUCCUUCAGGAGUGCAAAAGGAACGAAUUCAGCCUGAAGACAUGUUUGUGUGUGAUAUAAAUGAAAAGGACAUAAGUGGACCUUCGCCAUCUAAGAAGCUAAAAAAAAGCCAGUGUACUCCUCUUUUCAUGAAUGCUUACACAAUGAGAGGAGCAGGUGCAGUGAUUCAUACCCACUCUAAAGCUGCUGUGAUGGCCACCCUUCUCUUUCCAGGACGGGAGUUUAAAAUUACACAUCAAGAGAUGAUAAAAGGAAUAAAGAAAUGUACUUCUGGAGGGUAUUAUAGAUAUGAUGAUAUGUUAGUGGUACCCAUUAUUGAGAAUACACCUGAGGAGAAAGACCUCAAAGAUAGAAUGGCUCAUGCAAUGAAUGAAUACCCAGACUCCUGUGCAGUACUGGUCAGACGUCACGGAGUAUAUGUGUGGGGGGAAACGUGGGAGAAGGCCAAAACCAUGUGUGAGUGUUAUGACUAUUUAUUUGAUAUUGCCGUAUCAAUGAAGAAAGUAGGACUUGAUCCUUCACAGCUCCCAGUUGGAGAAAAUGGAAUCGUUUAAGCCAAAAGAAAGUCUAAUUAUAUACGGAGAUAAAGCUAAACGUCCCUCCCACAACACGGAAUUAUGGGAGCUACAAGAUGAGAUUUGCGUGGGGACACAGAGCCAAACCAUAUCAUCCAGCAUCCAGGAAGAAUCAGGUCACUCAGACUUGAAGGAUGGGGUCAGUAAAACUCUGUGGAAACAAAAAGAUGUAGCAGAAAAACCACUAGAUGGGUGUCAGGUAACUUUGACUCUAACCCCAGCAAGGCCACUCGCAUUUUCUCUGUGAUUUUGUGUCUCAAGUAUUUUAACCAUCUCUUGAAAUGUUCUUGGGCCUCAGCCUAGGCACUAUGCCUAUAGAACCUAAUGGAUAAAGCAACCCUGCUUGUUUAAAAGCCUAGAGGCAAGUGCAAUCAAGUUUAAUGCCGAAUAUGGCAAACUUAUUUUCCCUGUUGAAGCCAAGUAUCUGUGUGGAGGAUUAGUUGGAUGCAUGCUUCCAAAAGAAACCAGCUGUUCUUGUAAGUAAAGGCCUGCUGAAAGAAGAAACCAACCUAUUUAGGUUGGAGAAUAUGGGGCACAGAUUGCCUUUUCCCAUCACCUGCCAGGAACACCAUGCGCUUAUUUCAUCUCAAUGCAAGAUACAAGAUCUGGGAUCCAAAACACCAUUUUCUAUCACAAAGCCAGUUCUCACACCUUUUUCAGAUCAAAUGUUCCAGCCUCUUUAGAAAAGCUUAGAAAAUAGUCUUUCUUUCACUCCCCACGAGUCUUUAUUGUGACAUAUGUUGCAUAUCAUAACCCUUGGUACUGGAUGAAAGCUCCCAAUCUGAAUGAAGAACAGGUAAAGGUAAACAAAAAACUGAGGCUAAAAGAAUCACUUAACCUGAACCAGAUGGUAGGAAAAGCAUGCUAGAAUGGAAUAUCCAACCGGCUAUGGACAUUGUUUUUGGCAGACAAAUGAAUGGCCCCAUUAUAAAGGCAUCAGGUUUGGUGUAUUGUCCAGCUCUAGGGGGCAACAUUGAAUUGUAUUCUGUGGUUAUGGUGCUCCCUGGAGUUCUGUAAACACAUAGGUCUGAGACUGAUCAUCACAUGCCUAUCAUAUCCAGGGAAAUAAGGAGCAAAAUGGCCCAGAAGAAGAGAAAGAACAUUCUACCAAGUCACAUGUAACCUACCAACAGUCCACAACUGCAAUUGAUUUCAUGCCCAACUCUUGCUACACCUAAGAUUUGCAUAACUUAGUACUGGGGAGGUUUUGGGGGAAACCAGAAUUCCACCUCUGAAGCCAAGUCAAAUCUUCAGUGACUGGAGACUGGGAAAGCUGCCUUUUUCAAAUUUAGUUUCUCUUUCCCAAUAGCACUUAAAGGACAAACGUGUUCUGUUCUGCAUCUUUGGAACUCACUAUUCAUGGUUAAGUCAUUGCCUUUGAGACUUUAUAAGGGUUAUUGGCAGUUUAGCUUUACAGUAAAUGUAGUGUAAUUUACACAAUAAAAUGCAGUCACUUGUUUAAUUACUUACCUCACCUAUUGGGACUUUUUCUCAUCUCUCAGGUCACAGUUUUUACUUAGGGCCAUAACAAUGGGGUUGACAUUGGUAUGAAACACUUUUGAACCCCCCAGAAUGAAGACUUCUUAACUGCACCUGAAGAGUGACUCGCCAAAAACAAUGAAAGGUGUUUCACAAUCUGAGUGGGUGAACUUCAUCUAACUGAUAUGUAAAUAAAGGAGUGGCGGGUUAAGAGCUCAAUACGCAGAAGCGGCCUCUCAAGAAAGCUUGGCUACUAGAAAUGAGGGGCAACUUCACUCAAAUCCUGUGACACUGUGUGGAAUUUAGGCAUAGCAAGAUGCUUGGGCCUGGACCAAUGGAAUGACAAAAGGCUCCUUUCUCUCUCUGCAGUUCACCCAUGUCCAAAGAGAGAGAACACCAGGAGGUGGGACGUCGGAAUUGAUUCUGAAUCUUCUCGUGUAAUUCAAGGCAUGUGUGUAUGUGUGUGCCUGUGUGUGUGUGUUUUCUGUUUAAAACCACCAGAGAAAUGCAGAUAGUCCCUGAGAAGAAAAGAUUAAUAUUGCACCUUGGUCUUGCCCUUCUGGCUCACAUGUGGGGGAAAGCCCAGUAGACCAGCAUGGCCCAAGGGAACAGAGCCACCCCAGAUCCAACCACACAAAGAAAACAGAGACCUUGAAAGAGGAAAAAUAAUAUUUGUAGCUAUUAAUGAUAUUACAAUCACAAUAAUAAUCCUAAUGUCAGUAGCUAGCACUUGCCCACACUUACUUAAACAUAGAAACUCAUUCUGGCAAAUUCUGCCCACUUUCCAAGGCUUUCUGGGAGUCCCAGGUGAUGUUUUAUAGGCAUUUGCACACAGCCCUGUUGUUUUCCACUCCAGCCUCUGUGUUGAAAUCUGAUACCUAAGAGUCCCUCUAUGCCCUUCUUAAUAAUUCUGGUAUCAGCCAGAGCUGUGUCUCUUAGUAGUCUCAAAGCCAGUAACUCAAAAGGAGCCAAAUUGGUAUUUAUCUUCCUACCUGGGCAUCAAAGUAUCCCAGAUCUCAUGGGGUCUGCUGUGAAAACAGCUGCUUCUGCUGCUUCUGCAUCUCUUUCUCUCUGGGAGGGUUUAGACAGGAGUCAAGGAGCCAGACUCAUCCAUUUGGGAAUUGAUAUCUGCGACAGACGUCUCUUUUCUUUUCACCUCAUCCCUUUCCUUACCGUUUACUCUCCCUCCAUCCGUUCUGUUUCACUGCAUCAGGUAAACCCCAAUAAUCUACACUUUAAUGAGCCCCCUUCCUGGGGGGAGCACAGAUACCACCUCUGAGAAGCAACAAUGGAUUCGUUAAAAGGCUGUAUGGCCUGGUGGCUGAGGCUGUGAAGUCAGACCUGGAUCUGAAUAUAGGCUCUAUUCCUUCAUACUAUCUCCUUGAGCAAGUGACAUAACCUCUUUGUGGCCUGGUCUCCUUGAUUACCAAAUGAAGACAGUAACAGACUUAGCUCAUAGGGUUGUGGUUAGAAUUCUACAAGAUCAUUAAUUGAUUACUUCCUUGUAUAAAUACCUUAUUGAGGAUCUGUAAUGUUCCGAGUACUAUUCUAGGUGUUAGGGAUACAACAUAGAACAAAAUAUACAAAAUAUCUGUCUUCAUGGAGAUUAAGUUUCAGUUGGGGAGAUAGACAAUAAGCAGGAAUAUAAUAGAAUAAAAUGUUCGGCAGUGAUACAGUCUAUAAAGCAUAAAUCUGAUUAGGGAUGGAGAGGGAUGGCAGGGAAAGUAUUUGAGAAAAGAUAGUAAGAUAGUUAGGGAAGCCCUCUUUGACGAGGUGGCAUAUGAGCAAAGAUCUGGAUGAAAAAUAAUUCAGCACUUUGGGAGGCGGAGGCGGGUGGAUCACGAGGUCAGGAGUUCAAGACCAGCCUGACCAACAUGGUGAAACCCCGUCUCUACUAAAAAUACAAAAAUUAGCCAGGCGUGGUGGUGUGCGCCUGUAAUCCCAGCUACUCAGGAGGCUGAGGCAGGAGAAUCGCUUGAACCCAGAAGUCGGAGGUUGCAGUGAGCCGAGAUCAUGCCAUUGCACUCCAGCCUGGGUGACACAGCGAGACUCCAUCUCAAAAAAAAAAAAAAAAGGAAAAAGAAAAAUACUUAGCAUAUUUCAGGCAUAGAAUGUUUAAUAAACGGGACAAUAUUACUUUCCAGAUUCUCAUCUUCAAGAUGCUCACAGACUAUGUACCUGGAAAUGUGGCAGUUGCUUGACUUUAUUUUAAAAAAUACAUCCCUAGGUCAGGCAUGGUGGCUCAUGCUUGUAAUUCCAACAAUUUGGGAGGAUCAAUUGAGGCCAGGAGUUUGAGAUCAGCCUGUCUCAAAAAAAAAAAAAAA